RNAcentral lists this non-coding RNA (220 nucleotides) under Rhodovastum atsumiense. Lineage: Bacteria; Pseudomonadati; Pseudomonadota; Alphaproteobacteria; Acetobacterales; Acetobacteraceae. The record is from RNAcentral.
CUACGGGUUUCGUGUCGUGGUUCUUCUGUUUCCAUCUGCCGGAAGCAGAAGCUAAGAGGGAAUCCGGUGCGUCUGCCGACCAUGCCGGAGCUGCCCCCGCAACUGUGAGCGGCGAGCCAUCAUCCGAUUUGCGUCACUGGUGCCGGAACGGCAUCGGGAAGGCCAGGACGGAGGCGACGACCCGCAAGCCAGGAGACCUGCCACGGCCGUCGAACGUCCU